Molecule: ribosomal RNA, 238 nt
Filed under: uncultured bacterium
Lineage: Bacteria
Description: partial 16S ribosomal RNA
Rfam family: Bacterial small subunit ribosomal RNA
Source: RNAcentral
AGCCCUUGACAUCCCGGUCGCGGACUCCAGAGACGGAGUUCUUCAGUUCGGCUGGACCGGAGACAGGUGCUGCAUGGCUGUCGUCAGCUCGUGUCGUGAGAUGUUGGGUUAAGUCCCGCAACGAGCGCAACCCCCGUCCUUAGUUGCUACCAUUUAGUUGAGCACUCUAAGGAGACUGCCGGUGAUAAGCCGCGAGGAAGGUGGGGAUGACGUCAAGUCCUCAUGGCCCUUACGGGCU